Molecule: ribosomal RNA, 492 nt
Filed under: uncultured bacterium
Lineage: Bacteria
Description: partial 16S ribosomal RNA
Rfam family: Bacterial small subunit ribosomal RNA
Source: RNAcentral
AUUGAACGCUGGCGGCAUGCUUUACACAUGCAAGUCGAACGGUAACAGGCCUUCGGGUGCUGACGAGUGGCGAACGGGUGAGUAAUGCAUCGGAACGUGCCCAGAGGUGGGGGAUAACGCAGCGAAAGCUGUGCUAAUACCGCAUGUGAUCUGAGGAUGAAAGCGGGGGACCAGGCAGCAAUGUUUGGCCUCGCGCCUUUGGAGCGGCCGAUGUCCGAUUAGGUAGUUGGUGGGGUAAAGGCCUACCAAGCCGACGAUCUGUAGCUGGUCUGAGAGGACGACCAGCCACACUGGGACUGAGACACGGCCCAGACUCCUACGGGAGGCAGCAGUGGGGAAUUUUGGACAAUGGGCGCAAGCCUGAUCCAGCAAUGCCGCGUGCGGGAAGAAGGCCUUCGGGUUGUAAACCGCUUUUGUACGGAACGAAAAGGCUCUGGCUAAUACCUGGGGCUGAUGACGGUACCGUAAGAAUAAGCACCGGCUAACUACGUG